This 112-nucleotide transfer RNA is filed under the name Ceratobasidium sp. 428. RNAcentral describes it as "tRNA-Pro". The record is from RNAcentral. Lineage: Eukaryota; Fungi; Basidiomycota; Agaricomycetes; Cantharellales; Ceratobasidiaceae.
GCCUCAGUGGUCUAGUAGUAUGAUUCGCCCUUCGGGAGUUGUCCCGUAAGCUUGAUUACAUCAUAAGCUUACAUAAUGGGUGAGGUCCUGGGUUCAAUUCCCAGCUGGGGCC